This 4046-nucleotide long non-coding RNA is filed under the name Homo sapiens (human). Its description in RNAcentral is "non-protein coding lnc-MED15-1:2". The record is from RNAcentral. Lineage: Eukaryota; Metazoa; Chordata; Mammalia; Primates; Hominidae.
GCCGCGCAGGCGCCGGGCGGGCCAGACGUAGGCCCGGGGGUUCCCGGCCUGGCCGGGUAGCAGCGCGGGGGCGGCCCUGGGGCGGGGAGACAGGGGGCGGCUCCACUCCGGCGCUCUGCGGAGGACAGCAGCGAUCGCCAAGGCUCAGUGAGUCCCCGCACUAGCGCGGCACCUGGCACUUGGCGGGGCCGAACCAACGAAUGAGCGAAUUUGCCGAGAGUCGCCCCGUCUGAAUCCAUUGACUCUUUCCUUGCCUCGGUCCUACCCUCAUUCCUCGACUCACUUCCUCCUGCCCUUCCUCACUAUCUCCCUCCCCGCUCAUAUCCUCCCUCUCCUUUCCUCAUUCCCUUCUUCACUCUCUUCUCUCCUCUCUUACUCCCCCCCUCUCAUUCCCUCCCUCCUUCACUCUCUCAUUCCUUCCCUUCCUAUCUUACCCACCAUUCCCUUCCUCCCUCACUCAUUCACUCCCUCCCUGUCUCCCCCUCUCAUCCCCUCCCUCUCUCAUUCCCUUUCCCUCCCUCCUUAACUCUCGUUCUCUCCUCCCUCUCUCAUUCCUUCCCUCCCUGUCUCAUUUCCCCCCUUCUUUCCCUCCCUCCCUCUCCUCUUCUCCCAUUGCCUCCCUCCCUCUUUGAUUCCCUUCUUUCCUCCUCUCCUCCACUUGUUCCCUUCGUCACGCGCUCAUUCCCUCCCUCCCGCGGCCUGCUCCUUCCCCGCUCCCUCCGCGGUCGGUGCCGCUGACCGUAGCGCGCCCCCUGCGGGAUAUCGGGGAGAAUCGCUUAACACCGCCAGAGUGAACAGGUGCUAGUUUGUGUGCCCGUUCCUUUACUGAGAUUUUGCAGUAAAUCUAAUUCCCAGUCUUAAAGCCUGGUCCCAGAGGUCCGUGCGCGGGUCUUGGCAUUCAUUGUUCUCCACCUCACCUUCGAGCAGGUCCCAUCCUCCGAGGCGUAUCCGUAAUGGCUGCGCCCAGAGCUUGGAGCCACAGAGCCUCCUGAUGGGAUAAGGUUGGAGUGUCCCACACUGUGGUUUUGAGAGGGACUGUGAAGGGUGGAGAGAGUGGUAGGGGGAGGAUGUGGCUGGAGAUGGCUCAUGGUUAAAAAGAAAGGUGGGGCCGGGCUUGGUGGCUGGCGCCUGUAAUCCCAACACUUUGGGAGGCCGAGACGGGCGGAUCACGAGGUCAGGAGAUGGAAACCAUCCUGGCCAACAUGGUGAAACCCCAUCUCUACCAAAACACACACAAAAAAACUAGCCGGUCGUGGUGGCGCGCACCUGUAGUCCCAGCUACUCGGGAGCCUGAGGCAGGAGAAUCGCUUGAACCCGGGAGGCAGAGGUUGCAGUGAGCCGAGAUCACGCGCCACUGCACUCCAGCCUGGUGACAGAGCGAGACUCCGUCUCAAAAAAAAAAAAAAAAAAAAAAAAAAAAAUUGGUGGAAGGGGAAUGUAAAAGGAGGAAAAUACACGGAAGAGAAUUGCUGUCCUGGCUGAGUCCAGAGAGAUAACUGAGGGUCCCAGACAAGGAUCAAGAGAACGGGAUUGGCCUCCAGAGGCAGAGGUUCCAAAUGGGAGUGGGCUUCCUCCUAGAAAGACUUUCUGGAGGAGACCCCCCUACUGUGUAACAGAGGAGGACUUUGGGAUUAAGAAAAGCAUUCCAGGAAGCCGACAGUGUCAGCAAACGUGGAGGUGAGAUCCUUCAAAGUGAGUGGUGUGGAGGUUUCCAGAAUUUUCUGAGCCUGAAGGGAAGGUUGGAGAGCAGACCCUGCCCUUUGGAGGCUUGACUUAGCCCUGAGGGCACCCUGUAGCCAGGGUGGGCAGAUGCCAAUAUGGUAGAGACGAAGACUGAGUAGGGAGCCAGCCACAGUGCUGUGGUCUCAGGCAGGGAGUGAAGACCAGAGUGGAGCAGGCUAGAAACCUGGGAAGGAAGCAGGUUCCCCAGUAUAAGCCCAGUGAUGUGUGAAGAAUGAGCCCAGGAGAUGGGUGGGGAAGUAGGCCCACCCUGCCUACAGGGGAGCCAGAGCAAGAGCAGGUCUGGGGGAAGAUGAGGCCCCCCUUGGCUCCAGGUAGGGGAAGACUGACCUCCAAGGCCCAAUGGGACCAGGUGUACGGGUGGACCCAGAGAGGAGAGGAAAAGGAAUCCUGGGGCAGCAACAAGAAGGCCACUGUGGUCUGAAUGUCGGUACCCCCAAAAUUCAUAUGUUGGAACUGAAUCCUCAGUGCGAUACUAUUAUAAAGUAGGGCCUUUGGGAGGGGUUUAGGUCAUGAGGGUGAAGUCCUCACCAUGGGAUCAGUGUAUAAAAGAGGUUCGAAGGAGCUCAUCCCCCACUUUUGCCAGGUGAGGACACUGUAAUAAGCACCAUCUUCAAGGCAGAGAAUCGGCUGGGCGCAGUGGCUCACGCCUGUAAUCCCAGCACUUUGGGAAGCCGAGGUGGGAGGAUCAUGAGGUCAGGAGAUCAAGACCAUCCUGGCUAACAUGGUGAAACCCCAUCUCUACUAAAAAUACAAAAAAUUAGCCAGGCAUGGUGGUGGGCGCCUGUAGUCCCAGCUACUUGGGAGGCUGAGGCAGGAGAAUGGCGUGAACCCGGGAGGCAGAGCUUGCAGUGAGCUGAGAUCGCGCCACUGCACUCCAGCCUGGGUGACAGAGCAAGACUCCGUCUCAAAAAAAAAAAGCAGAGAACGGACCCCUCACUAGACACUGGGGCUUUUUUCUGAAGGCUACUGUGUCAUAUAAAAUUUAUAUUAAAUAAAUUGAUAUGCUUUUCUCUUGUUAAUCUGUCCUUUGUUAGAGGGGUGUCAACCAGGAACCUUGUGAUGCGUGAGGAAAAAAUAUUACCUUUUCCCCCUACUCUUUCUGGCACCCAACAAACAAGUGGGGUGGCAAAGACACCCCACUUGGGACAACUGGCAAAAGCUCUAUGAUCAGAAGAUGGCAUAAGUGGGGCUGGGCACAGUGGCUCAGUGCCCAGCUGGGAUUACGCCUGUAAUACCAGCACUUUGGGAGGCCAAGGUGAGUGGAUCACGAGGUCAGGAGUUGAAGACCAGCCUGGCCAACAUGGAGAAACCCCGUCUCUACUAAAAAUACAAAAAAUUAGCCGGGCGCGGUGGCAGGUGCCUGUAAUCCCAGCUACUCGGGAGGCUGAGGCAGGAGAAUAGCUUGAACUCAGAGGGCGGAGGUUGCAGUGAGCCAAGGUUGCGCCACUGCACUCCAGCCUGGGCGACAGAGUGAGACUCCGUCUCUAAAAAACAAAAAAGAAGAUGGCGUAAUCAGAAGUUGAUAUUCUGUCUAUUGGAUCCUGCUUCUCCCCUGGGGUCUUCUUGGUUCCCUGAAGCCCCUCUUCCGGAGUCCCUGCCCUCUAUCGGCUCUGCCUCCUGCUUCUUUUCUGUAUUGCCAUGAUUUUUGCUAAGGAUAAAGGACAACUUCAUUGGCUUCUUUGGGAAACUUGCAAUCUCCCCAAACAGGCCCCUCUGAGAUUUCUCCUUUCCAUUUGCUUCUGCUCCCCCUUCCUCCUUUUGCCACCUUCGAUAUUUUCUCCAGUUUCCUUGAUUCCUUUGAUACGUCCCCAUUCAGGCCACUCUGGCCCUCCAUCCAACCUGCCAGAACUUUUUCCACUUCAGCACUUCAGUCACUUAAACAUUAGGGCUCCCUGCCCUAAAGGGACUCAAAAUCCUGCAAAAACAACCACCUAAGGAUAAAAAGAGAAAAAAUGAAACUGUUUGGAAACUGGGCAAAUGAAUACUCUUUUAAAAGUCUUUUUCUGGGGGCCAGGUGUGGUGGCUCACGCCUGUAAUCCCAGCACUUUGGGAGGCCGAGGCGGGCAGAUCACAAGGUCAGGAGUUCAAGACCAGCCUGGCCAAUAUGGUGAAACCCCGUCUCUCCUAAUGAUACAAAAAAAAUUAGCCAGGUGUGGUGGCAUUCGCCUGUAGUCCCAGCUACUUGGGAGGCUGAGGAAGGAGAAUCGCUUGAACCCGGGAGGCGGAGGUUGCAGUGAGCCAAGAUUGCACCACUGCACCAGCCUGGCGACAGAGCAAGAAGACUCCAUCUCGAAAAAUAUAUA